Molecule: ribosomal RNA, 483 nt
Filed under: uncultured bacterium
Lineage: Bacteria
Description: partial 16S ribosomal RNA
Rfam family: Bacterial small subunit ribosomal RNA
Source: RNAcentral
AUUGAACGCUGGCGGCAUGCUUUACACAUGCAAGUCGAACGGCAGCGCGGGCUUCGGCCUGGCGGCGAGUGGCGAACGGUGAGUAAUACAUCGGAACGUGCCCAGUAGUGGGGGAUAGCUCGGCGAAAGCCGGAUUAAUACCGCAUACGACCUGAGGGUGAAAGCGGGGGAUCUUCGGACCUCGCGCUAUUGGAGCGGCCGAUGGCAGAUUAGCUAGUUGGUGGGGUAAAGGCCUACCAAGGCGACGAUCUGUAGCUGGUCUGAGAGGACGACCAGCCACACUGGGACUGAGACACGGCCCAGACUCCUACGGGAGGCAGCAGUGGGGAAUUUUGGACAAUGGGCGAAAGCCUGAUCCAGCAAUGCCGCGUGUGUGAUGAAGGCCUUCGGGUUGUAAAGCACUUUUGGCGGGAACGAAAAGGACUGUGCCAAUACCACGGUUCGAUGACGGUACCCGCAGAAUAAGCACCGGCUAACUACGUG